RNAcentral lists this ribosomal RNA (910 nucleotides) under Triticum aestivum (bread wheat). RNAcentral's name for it is "partial small subunit ribosomal RNA". The record is from RNAcentral. Lineage: Eukaryota; Viridiplantae; Streptophyta; Magnoliopsida; Poales; Poaceae.
GGACGGCACCGGUUCGGAUGGAAACUCAGUGACUGUGUGCCCAGAGUGUUUCGUACUCCGGGUGGACAGUCACUGAGUUUCCGUCCCAUACCGUCCCUAAUGUUUCAGUCUCCUAGGUGCAGGCCAGUACUUCCUACGUCAUAUAGAUGACAUAUAACUCAAACUCGAAAAUUUACUUCUUUCGCUUCUUCGAGUUAAGUCGUUUAACUAAAGAGUCGAAGUUAGUUGGUACGUGAGAACAUUUUAGUACGAUCCCGGAAAAAGAAAUCGUUUAUAGCAUCCCGGAAGAGACCGUCUACGAAACCCUUCCGGUUCUCGGUUGUCGGUGACUGGAUCAGUUAUCACCUCAUGGUUGAGGCACAGAAAUUUUGGUCUCCAAAAGAGUACACAACAGUACCCGUCUUGGACCUUCUUUAUUCCACGUCGCGGAGUAUCACAUGGGGGUGGUGGUGGUUGCGAUGUGAGUGUUCGAUUGGAGUGGUAAAGUCCUUCGUAUACUCGUCGCUUUCGAACCCGUUCUUGAGGUUCUAGUACCCACCGGCACUUUCUUUUCUUCAAUUAUCGUGGCGUUUCGUAAAACAACUAAAGUGUCUUCGUCUCCUUCUAGAACAAAAGUCUUACGUGUCCGAACAGCCCUUGUCCACCCUUGAAUAUCGACCUUCUUAGGGGCCUUCUUGUCGUCUUCUUCAUCUCUACAAGACCCGUUUUUCCGUGGUCCUGGUUACUUUUACUUUUGUCCUACGUACGUCAUUUUGAUCUAACUGUAUAUCCUACGUGUACAGGUAGUUUUUGGACACAACUAGAAUGAGCAGGAUAGAAGAGUCGGUACGAUUUUCGUUGAACAAGACAUGGUUCGUACCUACAUGUAUUCUUUUGGAGUUCUUUUUCCUCCUUGUACACGAUUUAUUUG